This 495-nucleotide ribosomal RNA is filed under the name uncultured bacterium. RNAcentral's name for it is "bacterial SSU rRNA". It matches the Rfam family "Bacterial small subunit ribosomal RNA", at positions 903 to 1397 of the family's 1533-position model. The record is from RNAcentral.
AAAUGAAUAGACGGGGGCCCGCACAAGCGGUGGAGCAUGUGGUUUAAUUCGAAGCAACGCGAAGAACCUUACCAGGGUUUGACAUUUACCUGACGGGUGUAGAGAUACAUCUUUCUUUCGGGACAGGUAAACAGGUGGUGCAUGGUUGUCGUCAGCUCGUGUCGUGAGAUGUUGGGUUAAGUCCCGCAACGAGCGCAACCCUUAUUCUUAGUUGCCAUCACGUUAAGGUGGGCACUCUAAGGAGACUGUCGGUGACAAACCGGAGGAAGGUGGGGAUGACGUCAAAUCAUCAUGCCCUUUAUGCCCUGGGCUACACACGUGCUACAAUGGCCUGCACAGCGGGUUUGCGAAGUCGCGAGGCUAAGCUAAUCCCUUAAAGCAGGUCUCAGUUCGGAUUGCAGGCUGCAACUCGCCUGCAUGAAGCCGGAAUCGCUAGUAAUCGCGAAUCAGCACGUCGCGGUGAAUACGUUCCCGGGCCUUGUACACACCGCCCGU